This is a transfer RNA of Ovis aries (sheep), 69 nucleotides long. It matches the Rfam family "tRNA". From Rfam's summary of the family: Transfer RNA (tRNA) molecules are approximately 80 nucleotides in length. The record is from Rfam. NCBI's taxonomy places the organism in Eukaryota, Metazoa, Chordata, Mammalia, Artiodactyla, Bovidae.
CCUGGUGGCUCAGAGGUUAAAGCGUCUGCCUGGAAUGCAGGAGACCCAGGUUCGAUCCCUGGGUCAGGA